UGCCGCUGUGUCCUCCUGAAUCAUACUGAGUAUUUGUAACGUGUUCCUGCCCUAAUAGAUGCUCUCUAUGAAUAGAGAGAGUGCCUAUUUACUCUGAAAUACUUGGCACGGCGAGCGGAGGCUGCAGCGUGGAAGAAGCGGCUGUUAAGUCCCCGCUGCCCGCCGGCUGCUGUCAUUGCCCAGCACGUCCCCGAGCCCUUGUCUUGCCGGGCUCUGUCCUGCCAGGACAAGGGAAUGGAUCUAUGUGCCAAACCCAAACGCUGCGGUCUGCUGGUGUUCGAGUCCCAAACCUGUGGUUUGGAUUAAAUCAUUACAGAUAACUGCUUCUUUCUAUUUUUAACCCAAAGGAUGAGUCUUCCCCCACCUCCCCUUGUGCCAUUUGAAUAUUCGGUGAUGUCACACUGUUUGACCUCAGCUUUAGCACGAGGAAUGCCUGCGUUUUGGCUUUUGACCUGUAGGAGUAUGUCAGUGCUUAAUGAGGGAGGCUGCCCUAAUGCAUCUCAUUAGGCAAAUGAAACCGAAUGGAUAUCUUGAAAGAUCCCAUCGUUACGUGUAACCCCGCUGCCAUAUCCUGCUUCUUUCCAUCCUUCUGUAAAACAUUUGCACACUUAACACCAAUGCUACAGUAGCACAGUUUAUUUGCACCAGAUCUGUGGGGAAAAAAAGCCAUGUUGAGCUCCGGCAGGCUGAACUGUAUGGGACAACUGUACUUCUGUUCUGCCAGCCCUGUGAUUUGGCUGCUAAAGUCAUUUGGAUGUCAUCGCUUCUACUUGAAAUUCUCCAUAAAAAGAAAUGAGAUUGGCUCUGAAAGACAAGAAGCCCUGGAGGAACAGUUAUGGUGAAGAAGUGGUAUCUUGUUCUAGCACUCGAACCUGAGAAAGCAUUAGUUGUUCCAACACCUUAGUCACCCACUGAGAUCUUACCAAACCUCUGGUUUUGUUUUCCUCGAUUCUUGGACUCACUAUACAAAGGUUUUGAAUGACACCUUGAUGCAUUUCUUCAGGAAAGAGAUGUAUGGAAAGACACCCAGGAAUGACAAGCUUAUAUUCUGUGAGAUCAGUCCCUGAAAGACUGAGGGCAGAACUGAUGGCUAGAAAAUUAAGGAGAAGAAUAAGGAAACAACUGUAUCAUCAUCAGGGAGAUGUAGUGUACAGAUGAGUAUUAUCGUCACACAAGAGUGAGUGUCGUUGUCAUGCACUCUGAGCAUGGGUUUACUCUGGGACCAAGAGUCUGAAGCUCAUUUCCCCUUGUUUCUUCCUGCAACACUGCCACAAUAGCACUUGCUGUUCGCAUCAUGUGAGGCUUGCACUGUUCUCCUACCUACUAAUACUGCAUGCAGCUGUGUGCAGCCUUUCAUGUUUACUUCAGCUUGGAGCUGUAGGUCUGCUGGAAAAUCCAGCCACGAGACACUUUAAGUAGCAGUUUGAUCUUUGUCAGUGAGUUUGACUCAAUUUAGACGCAUGCCAUUGAGAGGUCAUACCUGGCCUGGAAUAUGUUUAGGGAUAUCAGAACAUUUUAAGGGGGAAAGACGGACAUUGUAACUAGCCAGUGUUUGAUUCCAGCAGUGAGUCUUGAAAAUGGGGAUGUUUAAUAGACCGUGAGGAAGUUAAAAGGAAGGAUUAGACAACUGGUGAGGUCAAGUGAACUUAAAUAAUCAUAAAUUUAUAGUGUAGUGCUGUAAUUAAAAAUGUUCCUUCACUCCCAUGGUUGGCCACGGCAUCAGAGCUAUGUCUGGUGGACACGGUGGACACAGACUUAAUCCUGAAAGGGCUUCUCUUACUUGUCCAGAUGAUAUGAAAGCUUUAAAAUUGGUGUAUGUGAUUAAACUAAAAAGACAAAUGAGAGAAAAAAACUGAAUCAUUAAGAAUCUAGAAUAAAUAAUGAGGCCCCAUCUGGAGUACUGCA
Coturnix japonica (Japanese quail) is the source of this 1905-nucleotide long non-coding RNA. The record is from Ensembl. NCBI's taxonomy places the organism in Eukaryota, Metazoa, Chordata, Aves, Galliformes, Phasianidae.